Molecule: unclassified non-coding RNA, 253 nt
Filed under: uncultured Hymenobacteraceae bacterium
Lineage: Bacteria; Pseudomonadati; Bacteroidota; Cytophagia; Cytophagales; Hymenobacteraceae
Description: contains 16S-23S intergenic spacer region
Rfam family: Bacterial small subunit ribosomal RNA
Source: RNAcentral
UACGGAGGGUGCAAGCGUUGUCCGGAUUUAUUGGGUUUAAAGGGUGCGUAGGCGGCCUUUUAAGUCAGGGGUGAAAUCCCGGGGCUCAACCCCGGAACUGCCCUUGAUACUGGGAGGCUUGAGUUCGGUAGAGGCGGGCGGAACUGGCGGUGUAGCGGUGAAAUGCAUAGAUACCGCCAAGAACCCCGAUUGCGAAGGCAGCUCGCUGUGCCGAAACUGACGCUGAGGCACGAAAGCGUGGGGAGCGAACAGG